GACGUAGGAGGCGAGCGUUGUCCGGAUUCAUUGGGCGUAAAGAGCACGCAGGCGGUUUGGCAAGUCGGAUGUGAAAACCCGAAGCUCAACUUCGGGCCUGCAUCCGAAACUGCCCGACUAGAGGUAGGUAGGGGAGAUCGGAAUUCCUGGUGUAGCGGUGAAAUGCGCAGAUAUAGGAGGAACACCGGUGGCGAAGGCGG
Molecule: ribosomal RNA, 200 nt
Filed under: uncultured bacterium
Lineage: Bacteria
Description: partial 16S ribosomal RNA
Rfam family: Bacterial small subunit ribosomal RNA
Source: RNAcentral